CAGCCGCCGCGGGAAUACGUAGGUGGCAAGCGUUGUCCGGAAUUAUUGGGCGUAAAGGGCUCGCAGGCGGUUUCUUAAGUCUGAUGUGAAAGCCCCCGGCUCAACCGGGGAGGGUCAUUGGAAACUGGGAAACUUGAGUGCAGAAGAGGAGAGUGGAAUUCCACGUGUAGCGGUGAGAUGCGUAGAGAUGUGGAGGGACACCAGUGGCGAAGGCGACUCUCUGGUCUGUAACUGACGCUGAGGAGCGAAAGCGUGGGGAGCGAACAGGAUUAGAGACCCCAGUAGUCCCUGUCUCUUAUAC
RNAcentral lists this ribosomal RNA (301 nucleotides) under uncultured bacterium. RNAcentral's name for it is "partial 16S ribosomal RNA". It matches the Rfam family "Bacterial small subunit ribosomal RNA", at positions 509 to 807 of the family's 1533-position model. The record is from RNAcentral.